Molecule: ribosomal RNA, 424 nt
Filed under: uncultured Glomeromycotina
Lineage: Eukaryota; Fungi; Glomeromycota
Description: SSU rRNA
Rfam family: Eukaryotic small subunit ribosomal RNA
Source: RNAcentral
AUUGUCUGUACUGGUGAGAUGAGUCUCUACCUUCUGAGGAACUUUCAUGCCAUUCGUUUGGUGUGAUGGGAAAUCAGGACUGUUACUUUGAAAAAAUUAGAGUGUUUAAAGCAGGCUAACAUCUGAAUACAUUAGCAUGGAAUAAUGAAGUAGGACGGAUUGAUUCUAUUUCGUUGGUUUCUAGGGUCACCGUAAUGAUUAAUAGGGAUAGUUGGGGGCAUUAGUAUUCAAUUGUCAAAGGUGAAAUUCUUGGAUUUAUUGAAGACUAACUACUGCUAAAGCAUUUGCCAAGGAUGUUUUCAUUAAUCAAGAACGAAAGUUAGGGGAUCGAACACGAUCAGAUACCGUCGUAGUCUUAACCAUAAACUAUGCCGACUAAGGAUCGGACGCAGUUAAUUUUAUAAUGACGUGUUCGGCACCUUAC